UUCUGUAAGCCGUUGAAGGUGUGUCGUGAGGCAUGCUGGAGGUAUCAGAAGUGCGAAUGCUGACAUAAGUAACGAUAAAGCGGGUGAAAAGCCCGCUCGCCGGAAGACCAAGGGUUCCUGUCCAACGUUAAUCGGGGCAGGGUGAGUCGACCCCUAAGGCGAGGCCGAAAGGCGUAGUCGAUGGGAAACGGGUUAAUAUUCCCGUACUUGGUGUUACUGCGAAGGGGGGACGGAGAAGG
This 239-nucleotide ribosomal RNA is filed under the name Salmonella enterica. RNAcentral's name for it is "partial 23S ribosomal RNA". It matches the Rfam family "Bacterial large subunit ribosomal RNA", at positions 1239 to 1481 of the family's 2925-position model. The record is from RNAcentral. Lineage: Bacteria; Pseudomonadati; Pseudomonadota; Gammaproteobacteria; Enterobacterales; Enterobacteriaceae.